CACGGGGUUGCGAGCGUUGUCCGGAAUUACUAGGCGUAAAGGGCAGGCAGGCGGAUCCGUAAGUUUAUCGUUUAAGGCGUCGGCUUAACCGGGCGUAGGGCGGUAGAUACUGUGGAUCUGGAAUGCGGUUAGGGAAGACAGAAUUCCUGGUGUAGCGGUGGAAUGCGCAGAGAUCAGGAGGAAUACCGAAGGCGAAGGCAGUCUUCCAAGCCGUUAUUGACGCUCAACUGCGAAGGUGUGGGUAUCAAACAGGAUUAGAUACCCUGGUAGUCCCUGAG
Molecule: ribosomal RNA, 278 nt
Filed under: uncultured prokaryote
Description: partial 16S ribosomal RNA
Rfam family: Bacterial small subunit ribosomal RNA
Source: RNAcentral